UGUUCGUUAUAACCUUCUUUUCCUUAUAUUUAUGUGAGGCGGUUACUCCCUUGUUCGUUAUAGCCUUCUUUUCCUUAUAUUUAUGUGAGGCGGUUACUCCCUUGUUCGUUAUAGCCUUCAUCUUAUUAUAUUAAAGGUUACUCCCUUGUUCGUUAUAGCCUUCAUCUUAUUAUAUUAAAGGUUACUCCCUUGUUCGUUAUAGCCUUCAUCUUAUUAUAUUAAAGGUUACUCCCUUGUUCGUUGUAGCCUUCAUCUUAUUAUAUUAAAGGUUACUCCCUUCUUCGUUAUAGCCUUCAUCUUAUUAUAUUAAAGGUUACUCCCUUGUUCGUUGUAGCCUUCAUCUUAUUAUAUUAAAGGUUACUCCCUUGUUCGUUGUAGCCUUCAUCUUAUUAUAUUAAAGGUUACUCCCUUGUUCGUUAUAGCCUUCAUCUUAUUAUAUUAAAGGUUACUCCCUUCUUCGUUGUAG
Long non-coding RNA from Eriocheir sinensis (Chinese mitten crab), 466 nucleotides. RefSeq lists it as uncharacterized. The record is from RefSeq and is a predicted model, not a curated record. NCBI's taxonomy places the organism in Eukaryota, Metazoa, Arthropoda, Malacostraca, Decapoda, Varunidae. The transcript has 3 exons.